Molecule: transfer RNA, 72 nt
Filed under: Phrynosoma platyrhinos (Desert horned lizard)
Lineage: Eukaryota; Metazoa; Chordata; Lepidosauria; Squamata; Phrynosomatidae
Description: tRNA-OTHER
Source: RNAcentral
GCCAGUGUGGUGUAGUGGUUUGAGCACUGGACUAUGACUCUGGAGACCAGGGUCCAAAUCUCCACUUAGGCA